UUCCUGGUGGUCCAGUGGCUAAGACUCCUUGCUUCUAAUGCAGGGGGCCUGGGUUCGACCCCUGGUCAGGGAA
RNAcentral lists this transfer RNA (73 nucleotides) under Bos taurus (domestic cattle). It matches the Rfam family "tRNA". Rfam says of the family: Transfer RNA (tRNA) molecules are approximately 80 nucleotides in length. The record is from Rfam by way of RNAcentral. RNAcentral also lists the same sequence under 2 other names. Lineage: Eukaryota; Metazoa; Chordata; Mammalia; Artiodactyla; Bovidae.